AGGAUAAUAGCUCAGUGGUAGAGCACAUGCUUAGCAUGCACCAGGUCCUGGGUUCAAUCCUCAGUACUCCAU
RNAcentral lists this transfer RNA (72 nucleotides) under Camelus bactrianus (Bactrian camel). It matches the Rfam family "tRNA". From Rfam's summary of the family: Transfer RNA (tRNA) molecules are approximately 80 nucleotides in length. Their secondary structure includes four short double-helical elements and three loops (D, anti-codon, and T loops). RNAcentral also lists the same sequence under 3 other names. The record is from Rfam by way of RNAcentral. Lineage: Eukaryota; Metazoa; Chordata; Mammalia; Artiodactyla; Camelidae.